RNAcentral lists this ribosomal RNA (1306 nucleotides) under uncultured Bacillota bacterium. RNAcentral describes it as "uncultured Firmicutes bacterium 16S ribosomal RNA". It matches the Rfam family "Bacterial small subunit ribosomal RNA". Lineage: Bacteria; Bacillati; Bacillota. The record is from RNAcentral.
AGAGUUUGAUUCUGGCUCAGGAUAACGCUGGCGGCGUGCCUAACACAUGCAAGUCGAGCGAGAAACGCGGAAAGCGGCGGACGGGUGAGUAACGCGUAGGCAACCUGCCCUUUGCAGAGGGAUAGCAACGGGAAACUGUUAUUAAAACCUCAUAACCGACAUGUCAAAUGACAAGACGGUCAAAGAUUUAUCGGCAAAGGAUGGGCCUGCGUCUGAUUAGUUAGUUGGUAGGGUAACGGCCUACCAAGGCAGCGAUCAGUAGCCGACCUGAGAGGGUGAUCGGCCACAUUGGAACUGAGACACGGUCCAAACUCCUACGGGAGGCAGCAGUGGGGAAUAUUGCACAAUGGGGAAAGCCUGAUGCAGCAACGCCGCGUGAAGGAGGUUUGUCGACUUCUGUCCUUGGGGAAAAAAACCCCUGGAGGAAGUCCCGGCAACUACGUGCCAGCAGCCGCGGUAAUACGUAGGGGGCGAGCGUUAUCCGGAAUUAUUGGGCGUAAAGAGUACGUAGGUGGUUUUUUAAGCGCAGGGUUUAAGGCGAUGGCUCAACUGUCGUUCGCCCUGUGAACUGGAAGACUUGAGUACAGGAGAGGAAAGCGGAAUUCCUAGUGUAGCGGUGAAAUGCAUAGAUAUUAGGAGGAACACCAGUGGCGAAGGCGGCUUUCUGGACUUAACUGACACUGAGGUACGAAAGCGUGGGGAGCAAACAGGAUUAGAUACCCUGGUAGUCCACGCUGUAAACGAUGAGCACUAGGUGUCGGGGUCGCAAGAUCUCGGUGCCGCAGUUAACGCAUUAAGUGCUCCGCCUGGGGAGUACGCACGCAAGUGUGAAACUCAAAGGAAUUGACGGGGACCCGCACAAGCAGCGGAGCAUGUGGUUUAAUUCGAAGCAACGCGAAGAACCUUACCAGAACACAUUCCUGACAGGCCUUUAAUCGGGCCCUUUCGCAGAGAAGGUGGUGCAUGGUUGUCGUCAGCUCGUGUCGUGAGAUGUUGGGUUAAGUCCCGCAACGAGCGCAACCCUUGUCAUUAGUUGCUAACAUUAAGUUGAGGACUCUAAUGAGACUGCCGGGGACAACUCGGAGGAAGGUGGGGAUGACGUCAAAUCAUCAUGCCCCUUAUGUUCUGGGCUACACACGUGCUACAAUGGCCGGUACAACGAGAAGCGAAGUCGCAAGGCGGAGCAACCUCAAAAACCGGUCCCAGUUCGGAUUGCAGGCUGAAACCCGCCUGCAUGAAGCCGGAGUUGCUAGUAAUCGCGAAUCAGAAUGUCGCGGUGAAUGCGUUCCCGGGUCUUGUACUCACC